Non-coding RNA from Acanthosepion pharaonis, 103 nucleotides. The record is from the annotation of a GenBank genome assembly. Lineage: Eukaryota; Metazoa; Mollusca; Cephalopoda; Sepiida; Sepiidae.
ACGGCCAUAUGUUGAAAUACCAAUUCCUGUACGAUCACCGAAGUUAAGCAGCCUCGAGCCUGUUCCGUACCGAGAUGGGUAAUCGCUUAGGAAUACCAGGUGA